RNAcentral lists this ribosomal RNA (487 nucleotides) under uncultured bacterium. RNAcentral describes it as "bacterial SSU rRNA". It matches the Rfam family "Bacterial small subunit ribosomal RNA", at positions 28 to 507 of the family's 1533-position model. The record is from RNAcentral.
GAUGAACGCUAGCUACAGGCUUAACACAUGCAAGUCGAGGGGCAGCGGGAUUGAAGCUUGCUCCAAUUGCCGGCGACCGGCGCACGGGUGAGUAACGCGUAUCCAACCUUCCGUACACUCAGGGAUAGCCUUUCGAAAGAAAGAUUAAUACCUGAUGGUAUGAUGAGAUCGCAUGGUAUCAUCAUUAAAGAUUUAUCGGUGUACGAUGGGGAUGCGUCCCAUUAGGUAGUAGGCGGGGUAACGGCCCACCUAGCCUACGAUGGAUAGGGGUUCUGAGAGGAAGGUCCCCCACAUUGGAACUGAGACACGGUCCAAACUCCUACGGGAGGCAGCAGUGAGGAAUAUUGGUCAAUGGACGAGAGUCUGAGCCAGCCAAGUAGCGUGCAGGAUGACGGCCCUAUGGGUUGUAAACUGCUUUUANAAGGAUAAACCUCCCACGUGUGGGAGCUUGUAUGUACCUUAUGAAUAAGCAUCGGCUAACUCCGUG